RNAcentral lists this ribosomal RNA (339 nucleotides) under uncultured Parcubacteria group bacterium. RNAcentral's name for it is "bacterial SSU rRNA". It matches the Rfam family "Bacterial small subunit ribosomal RNA", at positions 1028 to 1382 of the family's 1533-position model. The record is from RNAcentral.
UCUAAGACAGGUGUUGCACGGCUGUCGUCAGCUCGUGUCGUGAGAUGUGCCCUUAAGUGGGUAAACGAGCGAAACCUGUGUCCUGUGUUGAUUUUCACGGGAGACUGCCCCGGUUUACGGGGAGGAAGGCGCAGACGACGUCAAGUCAGCGUGGCUCUUACACCCUGGGCUACACACGUGCUACAAUGGCAGAUCAUAAAGAGUUGCAAAGCCGCAAGGCCAAGCUAAUCUCAUAAAAGCUGCCUCAGUUCGGAUUGCAGGCUGCAACUCGCCUGCAUGAAGCCGGAAUCGCUAGUAAUCGCGGAUCAGCAUGCCGCGGUGAAUACGUUCCCGGGCCUU